RNAcentral lists this ribosomal RNA (965 nucleotides) under Salmonella enterica subsp. enterica serovar Typhimurium. RNAcentral describes it as "partial 23S ribosomal RNA". It matches the Rfam family "Bacterial large subunit ribosomal RNA", at positions 695 to 1574 of the family's 2925-position model. The record is from RNAcentral. Lineage: Bacteria; Pseudomonadati; Pseudomonadota; Gammaproteobacteria; Enterobacterales; Enterobacteriaceae.
UUAAGUUGCAGGGUAUAGACCCGAAACCCGGUGAUCUAGCCAUGGGCAGGUUGAAGGUUGGGUAACACUAACUGGAGGACCGAACCGACUAAUGUUGAAAAAUUAGCGGAUGACCUGUGGCUGGGGGUGAAAGGCCAAUCAAACCGGGAGAUAGCUGGUUCUCCCCGAAAGCUAUUUAGGUAGCGCCUCGUGAAUUCAUCUCCGGGGGUAGAGCACUGUUUCGGCUAGGGGGCCAUCCCGGCUUACCAACCCGAUGCAAACUGCGAAUACCGGAGAAUGUUAUCACGGGAGACACACGGCGGGUGCUAACGUCCGUCGUGAAGAGGGAAACAACCCAGACCGCCAGCUAAGGUCCCAAAGUCAUGGUUAAGUGGGAAACGAUGUGGGAAGGCCCAGACAGCCAGGAUGUUGGCUUAGAAGCAGCCAUCAUUUAAAGAAAGCGUAAUAGCUCACUGGUCGAGUCGGCCUGCGCGGAAGAUGUAACGGGGCUAAACCAUGCACCGAAGCUGCGGCAGCGAACGUAUCACCCAAGACAACUUUACGGAGUUGACGAUUGACGGAGCGAAGCGACGUCAAAGCGUUCAUUAAAGUCGAGUUGGCUUAGGGAUACGUUCGUUGGGUAGGGGAGCGUUCUGUAAGCCUGUGAAGGUGUGUCGUGAGGCAUGCUGGAGGUAUCAGAAGUGCGAAUGCUGACAUAAGUAACGAUAAAGCGGGUGAAAAGCCCGCUCGCCGGAAGACCAAGGGUUCCUGUCCAACGUUAAUCGGGGCAGGGUGAGUCGACCCCUAAGGCGAGGCCGAAAGGCGUAGUCGAUGGGAAACGGGUUAAUAUUCCCGUACUUGGUGUUACUGCGAAGGGGGGACGGAGAAGGCUAUGUUGGCCGGGCGACGGUUGUCCCGGUUUAAGCGUGUAGGUGUGUGUUCCAGGUAAAUCCGGUUCACUUUAACACUGAGGCGUGAUGACGAGG